UAAAUAUUCAAAAAUAUAAUUAAUUAUUCUGUUAAAUCCUGUGCCAUCCCAGCUGCUCCCUGCACAGCUGCCCUGGGGUCAUUCCCUGUGUUCAUUCCCUGGUUUGGGGCAUAAUUCCCCGUUCCCAUUUCCACUCCCCAUUGCCCUGUUCCCCCUUCCCCAUUUUCCCAUUCCCAUUCCCAAUUUCCCAUUCCCAUUUUUCUCCCUCUGUUCCCGUUGCAGGAACCCCUCUCUGAAGCAGCAGCUCUUUUCUCCAUUCCCAUUUCCCCAUUCCCAUUUCCCCAUCCCCAUUCCCAUUUCCCCAUCCCCAUUCCCAUUUCCCCAUCCCCAUUUCCCCAUCCCCAUUCCCAUUUUUCCUUUCCCAUCCCCAUUUCCCCAUCCCCAUUUCCCCAUCCCCAUUCCCAGUUUCCCAUUCCCAAUUUCCCAUUCCCAUUCUCUAUUCCCAUUCCAGGAACCCAUCCCUGAAGCAGCAGCUCUUCUCCCCCAUUCCCCAUCCCCAUUCCCAUUUCCCCAUUCCCAUUCCCAUUUUCCCAUUCCCAUUCCUAUUUUCCCAUUCCCAUUCCCAUUUCCCCAUUCCCAUUUCCAUUUCCCCAUCCCCUUUCCCAAUUUCCCAUUCCCAUUUUUCUCGCUCUAUUCCCAUUGCAGGAACCCCUCUCUGAAGCAGCAGCUCUUCUCCCCCAUUCCCAUUUCCCCAUUCCCAUCCCCAUUCCCAAUUUCCCAUUCCCAUUUCCCCAUCCCCAUUCCCAAUUUCCCAUUCCCAUUUUUCUCCCUCUGUUCCCGUUUCAGGAACCCCUCUCUGAAGCAGCAGCUCUUUUCUCCCAUUUCCGCAUUCCCAAUUUCCCAUUCCCAUUUCCCCAUUCCCAUCCCCAUUUCCCCAUUCCCCAUUCCCAAUUUCCCAUUCCCAUUUUUCCUUUCCCAUCCCCAUUUCCCCAUUCCCAUUUUUCCUUUCCCAUUCCCAUUUUUCUCCCUGUGUUCCCAUUGCAGGAACCCCUCUCUGAAGCAGCAGCUCUUCUCCCCCAUUCCCCAUUCCCAUUCCCAUCCCCAUUCCCAUUCCCAUUUCCCCAUUCCCAGUUUCCCAUUCCCAUUCUCUGUUCCCAUUCCAGGAACCCAUCCCUGAAGCAGCAGCUCUUUUCCCCAUUCCCAUUUCCCCAUUCCCAUUUCCAUCCCCAUUCCCAUUCCCAAUUCCCCAUUCCCAUUCCCAAUUCCCCAUUCCCAUUCCCAAUUCCCAUUCCCAUUUCCCAUUCCCAUUCCCAUUUUUUCUCACUCUAUUCCCAUUUCCCAUUUCAGGAACCCCUCUCUGAAGCAGCAGCUCUUUUCCCCAUUCCCCAUUCCCAUUCCCAAUUUUUCUCUAUUCCCGUUGCAGGAACCCCUCUCUGAAGCAGCAGCUCUUUUCCCCAUUCCCAUCCCCAUUUUCCCAUUCCCAUUCCCAUUUUUUCUCACUCUGUUCCCAUUUCCCAUUUCAGGAACCCCUCUCUGAAGCAGCAGCUCUUCUCGUACGCCAUCCUGGGCUUUGCGCUGUCCGAGGCCAUGGGGCUCUUCUGUCUGAUGGUGGCAUUCCUGAUCCUGUUCGCCAUGUGACACCCCUGGGGACAGCCCUGCUGCUGCUGCUGCUCUCCUGCCAGUAAACCACCGAUUUCUCUACGGAAUUCCCUCUUUUGGCCUUUUUGUAUCUUUAUUUUUCAUCUUCCGGGGGAGAUCCGGGGUGGAAAAUCCCAGCUGUGGGGUCAGAUCUGUAAAAAAUCCACCCAAAUCUGGGCCUUGGGAAAACAGAGGUUGGGGUUGGGUGCUGGGAUGGAAUUCCCAGAGAAACCCAUGGAUUUCUCUACAGAAUUCGUUGUUUUGGGGUUUUUUUGCCUUUAUUUUUCACCUUCUGGGGGAAAUUCAGGGGUGCGAAAUCCCAGCUGUGGGGUCAGAUCUGUAAAAAAUCCACCCAAAUCUGGGUCCUGAGAAAGCAGAGGUUGGGGUUGGGUGUUGGGAUGGAAUUCCCAGAGGAACCCACGGAUUUCUCUACAGAAUUCUCUGUUUUGGGCCUUUUUUAAUCUUUAUUUUUCAUCUUUCGAGGGUGAUUCGGGGUGGAAAAUCCCAGAUGUGGGGUGGGAGUGGGAAGGUGGAGUCAA
Long non-coding RNA from Zonotrichia albicollis (white-throated sparrow), 2117 nucleotides. The record is from Ensembl. NCBI's taxonomy places the organism in Eukaryota, Metazoa, Chordata, Aves, Passeriformes, Passerellidae.